Molecule: small nuclear RNA, 211 nt
Filed under: Canis lupus familiaris (dog)
Lineage: Eukaryota; Metazoa; Chordata; Mammalia; Carnivora; Canidae
Description: U4 spliceosomal RNA (ENSCAFG00000043713.2)
Rfam family: U4 spliceosomal RNA (bases 1-153)
About the family: U4 small nuclear RNA (U4 snRNA) is a component of the major U2-dependent spliceosome.
Source: RNAcentral
AGCUUUGCGCAGUGGCAGUAUCGUAGCCAAUGAGGUUUAUCCGAGGCGCGAUUAUUGCUAAUUGAAAACUUUUCCCAUGAGCUCUUGAAAGAAAGUGAGCCAGCCUGCCAUAGACAAGCUAGGCCUAGGAAUCGUCCAAGCUCAUUACAAUGUGGAAAUGAGUGAUAUAUUCUCAUUUCAUUUGAGUUAUUUUUGCUGUCAGUUUCAUUUU